CUCCCCCUACAGUCUGCAGUGCCCAAAUAUUUGUAGCCACACAGGUCGUACACGUUGUUCGUUCAAAAUGGAAGGUCUAGUGUAUUUUCGUUAUGUUCGGUAAAUAAACAGUGCUUUCCCCAGACUAGGAGCCUGGGAAACAUAUGGCGUUCCUUCUGAAGGGACAGAUGCAGCAAGAAGUCCUCCUGACGAAAAUGUGCAAAGCAACCUGGUAGCAGACAAGAGAAACUCUGUUGUGUGCUGAAGCCAUGGCUUUGUGUUGGCACUUCCUGCGGCUGAUGUUCUGGGUGCCUGUGCUGUGGCUGAUAACGUCUGCUGUUGAUGGAGCCGUUGGAGUUGCUGAUGCAGAUGGUCUUGCUGCUGCUAAUUGCGGAAAAUUGUGCCUUAGCUGUCCUGUAUGGAAUUU
Molecule: long non-coding RNA, 406 nt
Organism: Schistocerca nitens (vagrant locust)
Lineage: Eukaryota; Metazoa; Arthropoda; Insecta; Orthoptera; Acrididae
Exons: 3
Source: RefSeq, a predicted model, not a curated record